RNAcentral lists this long non-coding RNA (4259 nucleotides) under Capsicum annuum. RNAcentral's name for it is "long non-coding RNA (CANN_LNC004163)". The record is from RNAcentral. Lineage: Eukaryota; Viridiplantae; Streptophyta; Magnoliopsida; Solanales; Solanaceae.
UUUUUUCUUGGAUGGAUCAUUUUGGAUGAAGAUGAAGUUGGCAAUGACAAUAGUACCGACGAUUUUGCCAAGAAUAGCAGCGAGGCUAGUUAAUAAACUCCAUUUUCUGUGUGUCGUCCUUCGAUCUUCUUCUUUCAAAACUCUUUAAUCUCAAUAUCGCCAUAUCAUUUACUCUUGAAAUAGAUCCAUUUGAACACGGUGAAGAUGACAUAAAUAUAAAUUUUACUAUCAAAGAAUAUUCGUGAAUACAUAAAUAAAUAUCACAAAAUUCUUUUAACUAUAAAUACAAAAUGAAAAAAAUAAAAAUAUGAACUUCAUUAAAGUUGAGUGCAUAGCUAAUAAAUCUGGAAAAGAUAUCCAUGCCAAGGCUUGAGUUGUUUCUACUUCCGGUUUAGAUUUUACAUCAUAAAUUAGAGGACACAUCUGAUAUGCCAAUCCAUCCUUAGCUAUGAUAUAAUAAACAUUCUUUGAUAACAUAUUGACAUAAUCCUCCAGGAGAUUAAAUCACAUCAAAAUGUGUCUAUUCUGGAGAAGACUAAUUUUACACUCACCUUUAAUGUUGCAUUGACGUGGAAUCUGCACCCUCAAAUCUUCCAGUUCUGGCCAUACGUAUGAGAAUUUCCCAAUAAUAUCUAAUUGUAGAUUUUCCAUGGCAAAUUCAUCUUUUGAAGCUCUUCAUCAGUCCAGGUCACUCUGGAAACUCCAUUAUUAUAAACUACAGGUUUCACUGUAGAGCAAUGCGGUCAAGAUUUGCAGCUGUCCUUUCAUAAUUUUUUGGCUUCAGCAGGUCAACAUACUUUAGGUGCUUAGAAUUUUCAUUAUUCUCAACAUUCAUACCAGAGGGCAAUUUGUUGCUUUGUGGGAUAAUGUUGACAUUUGACUCGUCGAGACAAACCUAAUUUUUUGGUGCAGAGGGGUGAUAUAAUUCUAGAAAAUUAGCUGGGGAUGUUAUGGCAUUUACGAAGGAGGUCGGCUGAUCCAUUCCAUGGAGUUGUUCAGCUAAUAUACCAGUCAUGCCGGUGAAAAUCGCGAUAAAGACAACCAGAGAUUAAAGAUUUUAUCGAAAGGGGUGUGGGUUUGAUUGGGGCUGAUUUAAAAGGGUAUUCAACAAGGGGCAUGUGUGGAGGAAGGACCUGCACACCGGAGUUGUGCUCCGGCGAGGUGAGAUGGUUAGCCUGACGGCGGAAAGAGGUUAGGUUUUUUUUAUUAUUAUUAUUAUUAUUAUUAUUAUGUGAUUACCGACAAUUAUGAUUUUCAUAAAAUAUAAAAUUAAUUUGAAGCAAAUAAAAAAGAAGAUAUUGAGAUAAAUAUAUUUCUCACACUAAAUAUAGUCAAACUUAUGGAGAACUAGUUUAUUUCAUGACGAAUAAUUGUCUUGAAAAAUUUAGUUUAAUCGUUGCUAAAAGUUAGCUUUGAUAAUAAAAUCUAUUGUCACCAAUAACAAAAAAAACGCUAUUAUUUCAUAUUGAUAUUAUUUUUUAAUUAGAAUUGAAUAAAUUAAAAAUAAAAUUAUAAAACAUGUUAGAUUGAUAAAAUUCACCCACAAUCAUACAAUUAAAAAAACUAAAAUUGCACUUAAGGUAAUAUCUCCUUAUAGAACAAACAAAAGUAAAAUAAGUCCAACACAAAGGAAAUCUAAUUGAAAUAUAGUACUAAAUAUUACUAUUCUAAACUAAGGUAGAUAUGUGGAGGUUUCUUCCAAAGUACCAAUAACGUGCUUGCAAUUGGUCUUCAUUCAACGCUCACUUUUACACCUGUGGAAAAGAGAAGAAAACUAUGAUUGAUGAUGUUGCUUUCAGAUUUACAACAAUAACAUGGCCGAUGUAUUCCCACAAAAUGGGGUUUGGAGAGGAUAAAGUGUUUAUACUUUUCAUAUGUUACUGACCAAAACUCUUGCACGUACUAUAUCAAUCCUAAUAAACCAUUUCCCUAAAACUAGUAUCAUCACCUUCAUACGGUCAUUAUUUUCAUAGCAGUAAUUAUCUAAAGUUCAUGCAUAAUAUCUAGUACUAAACAUAAUGGAAAUAAUUAUCCUUUAUUCUACACAAAGAUACAUUUUUUAAAGUAGAUUCAAGAAAUACUAGUCUAUUAAAAGUUCAUGAAACAGUCGAUCUUAAUCACUCGUCUAUCUAAUUACAACUUGUCAGCACGUUUUACUUCAUAACAUCAUUAUUACUUGUUCAUUCACAAUACAUAUUUUUUCUAAACUAUGUGCUUAAACCUGCAAGUAUCAUAGGGUUCUUUCUUAAAAAUCAUAAAAAUAUAGCCUAAAUUGGCAAUUUCUGACCACUUUAUCCUUCCACUCAUAAUUUAUACUUGCACUUUACUACCACAUAACAUGCCAUAAAAUCCCAAUUCAGGAUAGAUAACAGUAGAACCAAAAACAAACUUAAAAGCACACAACAAGAAUGCAUGGUGUUUAUAAUAAGAAAAUGUUGAGAUUGACUUAAAAUGGUGCUCUACUCCCUGACUCUUGGUGUCAACUAUUAUUAGUAGAACUGCAUAUGCAGGAGGUUGAAAUUGUUGGUACUUUCUAGCGGCUCUCCAUAAAAAGGACCAAUUUAUGCCUUGUUGGAAAAGAAAAAAGACAACAACAACAACAAACCUAGUGUAUUCCUACAAAGUGGAGUCUGGGGAGGGUAAGAUGUACACAGUCCAUACCGCUACCUCUGAAGAAGUAGAGAGGCUAUUUCCGAUAUACCCCCAGCUUAAGAUAUAGAACAGUAAAUAAUGGGAUGGAUGACAUAAUAGAAAAUCAGGAAUAAGAAAUAAUAAAAUAGCCACCAGAGUGGAAAAGAAAAAAAAUCAAAAUAAAAAAACAAAUUGAAGAAGAAAGAAUACAAAUUUUAAUAGAAAAUUUUCAAGGGAGAAGAAAGUCCGAGAAGAAAAAAAAUGGUUCUACGGGAGAUCACAUUUGGAACAACGUAUAUUUUGGGUCUAAAACGAACUUACAAGCUGUUUUUGAAGAUUCAGCAUAAGCUCAUUAGUCCUAAAUAUCCCAGCCUUCGUGAUUUCGCUCAUAGGCGAACACUAGCUGCAUUUGAUGUGGUACUGACCAUUUAUCGCAAGGUACAGGAAAGAGAUAUUGAAGCUGGUCGGAACCUUGGUAAUUGAAUCCUUCGAUGGCUUGACAAAAUGAAGCCAUCUGAUAAUAUUCGAGGUUUAAAUAACAAUGCAACUACGAGUGCAUCUAAGCGGCUUACGAACUCAUCACACUCCCCCAAUCUCGAAACUUUCUAGAAAUAUGGUGCUGGCAAGGACAAGGAAUCCAGCAGUAGACAUCUGUUUACCUCAGCUAGGAACACAUGACAGAAAGCUUACCCAACCAUUUCCAUGAUGAUUAAACCAAGAAGCCCAGCUGAAACAAAUAUCCAAUACAAGUAGUUCAACUCUAUUUUACCAAAUAGUUUCAGCGCCAUGAAUCAUGCCAAAUAUAGUUUUAAGGGAGUGAUCUGACCGAAUGUAUUACAGUGGAUUCAACAAAGCUAAUCCAUUAACUACUUUGCUGCUGCUUUUUGGACUUUUCACUAGUGGAGCUGAACCCUCGAGAAAAGGCAUAUCUAAUACAAAUAAUAGCUAACUAAAUCAGUGUCAUCAUGGAAAUUGAAGGUUCUGAUUUGUAGCCUUGUGGUUUCUGUUUUGUUUUCUUUCGGAUGGACCUAGUCCUUUCCAGUCAAUAUAUGUAAAAUUCAAUCUUAACAACUCUACCAGUAACAUACCCAUCAAGAAUAUGUUGGAAUACGUUGAUGCACAUAAUUUAUAUAUUUAAUAAAGAGAACUUAAAUUGAACUUAUCAUAUAAAUUUAUGUUACCUCUAAACUUACGGCGAUGGGCUAACAAGAAGUUGCAUUUUCUUAAGUAUUUCCUCUUGGCGUGCCACUACAGCAUUCAAUUGAGAAUUUAAUGCUUUGAUCUACGACUGCUGAUCUUGUAUCUGUGAUUGUUGGCUUUCUUCCAUAGUUUCAGUUGCAUUUAAUCAUUUUUGUAACUCAUUUUGGGCACUAGCAGCUUCCAUUUUCGCCUUUUUGGGGGAAUCUUCUAACUCUGUCGUUCUCCUUUGUGUUGCCAUUGUAGUAUUAGAUUUAAGACCAUAACCAAGACCUUUUAUGUACCUGACUUUGUACCAGGUACAACAUCCAGUUUUUCAACAAUAGUCAUGGAAGACUCUCUAGAAGUAUAUAGAGCUUUCAAAUCGCUCAUGUUGUUCAGCAUAAAAUAAUAACACAUUUAAAGGAGAAGACAUGAAGAAGAUUAAUCAA